UGGGGAAUAUUGCACAAUGGGCGAAAGCCUGAUGCAGCAACGCCGCGUGAGUGAUGAAGGCCUUCGGGUUGUAAAGCUCUGUCUUUUGGGACGAUAAUGACGGUACCAAAGGAGGAAGCCACGGCUAACUACGUGCCAGCAGCCGCGGUAAUACGUAGGUGGCAAGCGUUGUCCGGAUUUACUGGGCGUAAAGGAUGCGUAGGCGGGAUAGUCAGUCUGUUGUAAAAGUGCGGGCUCAACCCGUGAUCGCAAUGGAAACAGCUAUUCUUGAGUGCAGGAGAGGAAAGUGGAAUUCCCAGUGUAGCGGUGAAAUGCGUAGAUAUUGGGAGGAACACCAGUGGCGAAGGCGACUUUCUGGACUGUGUCUGACGCUGAGGCGCGAAAGCCAGGGGAGCGAACGGGAUUAGAUACCCCGGUAGUCCUGGCCGUAAACGAUGAGUACUAGGUGUAGGAGGUAUCGACCCCUUCUGUGCCGCAGUUAACACAAUAAGUACUCCGCCUGGGAAGUACGAUCGCAAGAUUAAAACUCAAAGGAAUUGACGGGGUCAUAGCUGUUUCC
This 559-nucleotide ribosomal RNA is filed under the name uncultured bacterium. RNAcentral's name for it is "partial 16S ribosomal RNA". It matches the Rfam family "Bacterial small subunit ribosomal RNA", at positions 355 to 937 of the family's 1533-position model. The record is from RNAcentral.